Molecule: ribosomal RNA, 901 nt
Filed under: uncultured Rothia sp.
Lineage: Bacteria; Bacillati; Actinomycetota; Actinomycetes; Micrococcales; Micrococcaceae
Description: bacterial SSU rRNA
Rfam family: Bacterial small subunit ribosomal RNA
Source: RNAcentral
AGAGUUUGAUUCUGGCUCAGGACGAACGCUGGCGGCGUGCUUAACACAUGCAAGUCGAACGAUGAAGCCUAGCUUGCUAGGUGGAUUAGUGGCGAACGGGUGAGUAAUACGUGAGUAACCUACCUUUAACUCUGGGAUAAGCCUGGGAAACUGGGUCUAAUACCGGAUACGACCAAUCUCCGCAUGGGGUGUUGGUGGAAAGCGUUAUGUAGUGGUUAUAGAUGGGCUCACGGCCUAUCAGCUUGUUGGUGAGGUAACGGCUCACCAAGGCGACGACGGGUAGCCGGCCUGAGAGGGUGACCGGCCACACUGGGACUGAGACACGGCCCAGACUCCUACGGGAGGCAGCAGUGGGGAAUAUUGCACAAUGGGCGCAAGCCUGAUGCAGCGACGCCGCGUGAGGGAUGACGGCCUUCGGGUUGUAAACCUCUGUUAGCAGGGAAGAAGAGAGAUUGACGGUACCUGCAGAGAAAGCGCCGGCUAACUACGUGCCAGCAGCCGCGGUAAUACGUAGGGCGCGAGCGUUGUCCGGAAUUAUUGGGCGUAAAGAGCUUGUAGGCGGUUUGUCGCGUCUGCUGUGAAAGGCCGGAGCUUAACUCCGUGUAUUGCAGUGGGUACGGGCAGACUAGAGUGCAGUAGGGGAGACUGGAAUUCCUGGUGUAGCGGUGGAAUGCGCAGAUAUCAGGAGGAACACCGAUGGCGAAGGCAGGUCUCUGGGCUGUAACUGACGCUGAGAAGCGAAAGCAUGGGGAGCGAACAGGAUUAGAUACCCUGGUAGUCCAUGCCGUAAACGUUGGGCACUAGGUGUGGGGAACAUUCCACGUUUUCCGCGCCGUAGCUAACGCAUUAAGUGCCCCGCCUGGGGAGUACGGCCGCAAGGCUAAAACUCAAAGGAAUUGAC